This is a long non-coding RNA of Clupea harengus (Atlantic herring), 5533 nucleotides long. Lineage: Eukaryota; Metazoa; Chordata; Actinopteri; Clupeiformes; Clupeidae. The record is from Ensembl.
GUGUGUAUGUAUAUAUGUAUGUGUGUGUGUGUGUGUGUAUGUGCACAUAUGAGUGUGUGAGUGAGUGUGUGAGUGUGUGUGUGUGAAGUGACCCAGUUUCCCGCAGGCGGAGCAUGUUUGUUCAUCGGGCCGUGAGAGUAUCGUGAGGAGGCAGAGCAGAGAGAGAGAGACGCACACGCCACACACACACACGACUCAGAGACGCCGUGCAGACGGGACCACUGAGCGCUGACCCUGACGCUGGCAAACACCAGAGGCACAAGAGCCGCCGCAACCUCCACACCGCUGCACCGGACCACACACACCACACUCCGUCACUCCCACAGCCAGGAACCUCCACACCGGACCACACACACCACACUCCGACACUCCCACAGCCAGGAACCUCCACAUAACUGAGCUGACGCAAGCACAGCACAGAAUGAUCUGAAAUGGGUCGACUAGAUCUCUGAUGAUGCUGCUAACGCCACUCUGACAUCACACAUCCAUCAGCAUCCAUUUUCGUCUCCAGCAAUAUCACCAUGGACACCAAAGGUAGAAAACCUGCCUCCUCUCCACAGCUCCCAGCCAGUCGUGUUAGCAAACAGGAACCCAGCCAGGGCACCUCUUCUUCGACCGGGUGUGACCCGUCAGGUAGCAGGGCGCCCGGCAAAGGCGAUGCUAGUGCCGUCAUGCUAACGGUGGGAAGCAGCCAGAAGAGUGGGUCCAUGGAGCACGUUGCGCAGAUCCACAGGUCAGGACAGGCCGGCAAAACUCAUCUGACCUCAUACUCCAGUGAGCCCAAACUGCAUAAAUCCCCUAACAGCUCGAGACCACAGACCAGCACAGAUUCGCCUAAGAAUCCCCACGCCAGAAACAGCGUGGUGACAACGUUUCGAAUACCGGCUAAAGAUUCUCCGAAGACUCAACACAGCAGAGCGUCUGCUGCCUCUCAUAUACCGGCUAAGGAUUCGCCUAAGCUCAACAGCUCAGCUUCAACCUCUCAAACAGCAGCUAAAGACCCCAAGAAUCAAAACAAGCUUGCGUCUUCUCAUAUACCAGUGAAAGUGUCACCAAAAAUUAACAAAGUGCCCUCCAAGACAUCAAUGAAAGAGUCGCCAAGUAACAGCAGCACACCUCUCUCCCUGUCGGACGACCUGUCUCCUGUCAGUGAUGAUGGGAGUCUGGCUCAGGCUCUCAGGGCUGAUGUCAUCCCUGUCACACCGCCCCCUGUUGUCCACCAACAGGUAAAACAGGAGACAAAACAAACCAGCCCUGUUGUCCAGGAUUCUCAAAAGCCACUCAAGGAAGAAGGCAAACACGUACCUUCUCCACACACUCAUCUGUCUCCUGUCAGUGAUGAUGGGAUUCUGGCUCAGGCUCUCAGGGCUGAUGUAAUCCCUGUCACAUCUCCCCCUGUAGUCCACCAACAGGUAAAACAGGAGACAAAACAAACCAGCCCUGUUGUCCAGGAUUCUCAAAAGCCACCCAAGGAAGAAGGCAAACGUGUACCUUCUCCACGCACUCAUCAUAAAGACGCACACAGUCCACAACCACAGCAAAAAGACACGCACACACACACUCAAAAACAGAUGACGCACACGGUAGAAGCCCAACAUAAGGCCCCACACACCACCAAGACUCAACACACAUCUCUAUCCAGCCAGCCAACACACGCAUUGACUGCUGCCAGUCAACACAGUGCCACCCCAAAGACCAAACGGCAGACAUCGCCGCACGUCACAGAGCGAAAAACGGUGGCGCCGAGAGAUAAGAGUGCGGAGAAGAAAGGAAAAGAGAAUGACGGGAAGGGAGUGAGAGGCAAAGACGUGGGGAAGAGUGUAGCAACUAUGACUGGUCCGGAAGGACUGGGAAAGGAUGUGGCGGUGCAAGUCUCUGAUGAUCUUUGCAACGACGUCACGGUCACGGUAUCGCAGCUUGACAAUCACCUCACUGGUGCCACUGGUGGGCACAUCAAUGCUGAGGAGAGCGCGCUGGUCCUGCGCCCUCAAAAGCCAAUAGUUCGCCAGCGUCCAUCAUCACAGUACGUCUGUCAGAUUGAGAUCGAGCUUAGCAGCCAAUCACCAAAAACCUCAGGCCAGGCUCCUCCCCCAGCUACAGCUGUGAUCCCAGCUCUCCCCUCUCUUUCUGGGAAAUCAACCGACGGACCUGACAUGCCCACGGACCAAUCUGAAGCGAAAGACACGACAGGGGAGGGACUGAGACAGGAGAAAGCAGGGCCCGUGCAGGAAGUGACGUGGGAUGACCAAGGGCUUACAUGGGAGGUGUAUGGCGCCACGCUUGAUUGGCAGGCGCUCGGCUCAGCCGUCCAGAGGCAUUUGCACACCCAGAUAGAGCAGCUGGAGCUACGCCUCAGAACCCUACAGGGCUCAGUCUCUGAGAAGAAGAGCCCGCCCCCCGCGCGCAGGGUGAGGAGGAAGUGCCGAUGUUGGUUUCACUGCUCUUCCUGUUGCUGCAAGCGCAAGCAGCAUAGCGCUUGAACUUUGACCUUUACACUCUGACCCCCCUUCAACAGGACUGUUAGCCUCUGGGAUCACAACACUGACUCAGCACAGUUUCACAGUUUCACAGUUGCUUGUGUUUUGAUUGAUUUUAAUCCUGUGGUAACUCGAUAUUAAUCUGGUUGCAAUCCAUGUGUGGUCCAGAUAUGUCAGCACUUGAUGGACUGAUAAAUAAAUAUGGUAACACAGAUGGGCAUCCAAAGCAUGCAAACAGAGACAUGUGCGCACGCACGAGCAAACAGAGAGAGAGCCAUACUCACAAGCACACACACACACACAAUUCUUCGCAAUACUCUCACACACACACACACACACACAAAAACACAAUCACUUACAAAUACACAAAUAUACUCUCUUCAUUAUGCGCUCUCUCUUACAAACGAAACAUACACACACACACACACACACUCACCUACACACACACACACACACACACACACACACACUCACCUACACACACACACACUCACCUACACACACACACACUCACACACACAGUAAGCUUGGUAAAGUAGGUCUGUGUGUUCACUUUGUAGCUUUUUUAUGUGUAGCUUUUUUCAAUGAGGUCACAGUAUUCACUGCCACCCAUCUCCCUGUUCAGUUUAAAUGGAUUUAUAGACGUGCGUGCCUCUCUGUGUGUGUGUGCGUGUGUGUGUGUUUAUGCAUGUGGUUUGCCUGUGUGUGUGUGUGUGAGUGAGUGGUUUUUAGUACAGCUGUGCUCUGACUUCUAUUUGGGUUGAUGAUUAAUGUUUCAUGUUUUGUCCCCAGUUGCUUGCAGAGGGAGAGAGAGAGACAGAGAGAGGGAGAGAGAGAGAGAGAGAGAGAGAGAGAGAGAGAGAGAGAGUGCACAGAUAAAACACUGGGACUAUUAUAUUUGACACUGAAUAAACAGAUUCUGAUUCACAUGUGAGCUGAGCAUAUGAAUGGUAAACCAUGAGUGUACUGGUAUAUUUAUGAAUUAGCUCUGUAUUAGAGGCUAGUCUGCCUGUAGGUAUAACAGCUGUACUGGAUGGAUACUACAGGUCAAAUCUGUGUUUAAGGUUUUGAACCGGUGAGUUUCUCAAUAUUCAUAAUGGUCUAGUCAGGUAUGAGAGUGAGGCUGAUAUGACAGGCAUCCCCAUACUGGCACCUGGUCACUGCUUUCUGAGAGAGACAGAGAGAAAGAGUGAGAGAGAGAGAGAGAGAGAGAGGGAGUGAGACAGAGAGAGAGAGUGAGAAAGAGAGAUAGAGAGAGAGAGAAAGCUACAACAUACACACAAAGAGCUGCAUAAAUAAACCUUUAAGCAUUGCUGACACACAGCUCUACAUCCGCUCACAAUAUCAGGCUCUGUUUACUGAGUUUUAGGCAAAUACAUUGCACACUAUUCCACUGACCUCCUCUACAGGGAUGCUCGGAAUACAUGGGAUUAGAAAAGUAUUAUCCUUCUGUCACUGGCUGUAUAUCUAUAUAAGUGUAUCUAACUGUUGCUGAGAGGAAGAAAUCAAUUUGAAGUUAUCAAUUGUAUCAGGUCUCUCUCCCUCUUUCUCCCCCUCUCUCUCUCUCUCUCCCUCUCUGUCUUUUUUUAGUUGCACGUCAUACUUCAUUACCCCUGAUGUCGUACUUGUUUCACAGAGGGAACCUCAUUCAUGUUUUAUACAGAGCAGCUUUUUACAGUGAACUGUUCAAUGAUACUUGUGCAUGCAUGUGAGAGUGAGAGAGCAUGUGUGUGUGUGUGUGUGUGAGAGAGAGAAAAAGUGAGUGCAUUCGUGAGUAAGGGGCUGUAUGUGCACGGCAGUGUAUAUGUAUGUCGAUUUGACUGUGUGUGUGUGUGUGUGUGUGUGUGUGUGUGUGUGUGUGUGUGUGUGUGUGUGUGUGUGUCUCUGUGUGAGAGAGAAAGAGAGAGAGAGUUAGCGUAACAGGGCUUCAGUAAGCUCUCAGAGAGUGGUUUUAUGUGUGCCAUGACAGCACACACUAUCCUUCAGACACUGACACAAGUAACCAGAAAACUCAAUCUCAUCCAUGAGCUGAGUGGCCUAUGUAAGUAUCUCUCUCUCUCGCUCUCUCUACUUUUUGUAAUUUCUUUUAUUUAAAUUAUUAAUGCCAGGGCCUGAGCUAUUGUAUGUGUGUGUGUAUGUGUGUGUGUGUGUGUGUGUGUGUGUGUGUGUGUGUGUGUGUGUGUGUGUGUGUGUGUGUGUGUGUGUGUAUGUGUGUGUCUGUGUGAGUGUGUGUGUGUGUGUGUGUGUGUGUGUGUGUGAGAGAGAGAGAGAGAGAGAGAGAGAGAGAGAGAGAGAGAGAGAGAGAAGUAGUUAGCAGUCAAUAACAGAGAGAAAUAGAAAAAUUAAAGACAGGUUAUGUUUCUAAGAGUCUUAUAGUGAUAAUAAAUAUAUGGUAUUAUCAACGGAACAGAAUGAAGCUAGACACAUAUUAGUAAAUUCACACCGAAGCGUUGAGUAGAGCUGCCUGGUGUGUGUGCUACUCAGUAGCCACUGCUCUGUCUGCUCUCUCGUAUUAACGGUCACGUAGUGCUAACCUAACACACUAUUUAGAAUCAAAUUGGUUAAUCCAAAGGGAAUAUUGCACGAAAUGAAUAGAAAGAACUAAAAGAUGGUGUUUUGGCUAAUCAUUCAUGUUUCCAAUGCUGUGGCAUGAUGUCUCAAAAGUGUAGGUCGGGAGCCAUACCUGCAUUCAUUGAUUUAGUUUUUAUCUUCUUCACUGGUGGGUAAAGUGCGCCUUCUUCUGGAAGUAAAGAGCACAGCCCAUCCAGAGUCUGCCAUCUUGUGUUGAGAAAUAGUAUUGUAUUGUUUGACUUUGAUGUGGGUGUACUGUUUAUUUAUGAAUUACAUGUUCCUAGCCAUUUUUAGUUAAAUAGUAAUCUUGAUAUAUAUCCAUAUCCAUCUGGCUACCAGUGUUUAAAACAGGAUCAGGCCUUCAUUUCUUUUGAGCAAAGAAGAUCCCCAUUGUGUCUUCUCUAAAGGUGUGCACAUGUGAUUGUUCAGAAACAAAAUCUCUAAAAUCAUUUAUAUUGUCACUGGUCUUGCAGGAGUGUCUAUUU